This 329-nucleotide long non-coding RNA is filed under the name Gossypium barbadense (sea-island cotton). RNAcentral describes it as "long non-coding RNA (GBAR_LNC020073)". The record is from RNAcentral. Lineage: Eukaryota; Viridiplantae; Streptophyta; Magnoliopsida; Malvales; Malvaceae.
CUGGAUAGGAUAAGGAGGCAUUUCUUCACUCUUUUAACAUUACUGUUUGGAGGGGCAAGAAGGGAGGUUUCAUGCUAAGACUGAGAUCUUGGACGCCACCAGCGAUUUCUCCAUGACAAGGUAAGGUUUAUAAACCUCUCUAUUAGAAAAAUAUAGAUAUUUAAGAGUACAUAGAGGAGAUAAGACCCAUGCGGGUUUAUAAGUUGAAGAAAGGUUAGGGGUUAAUAGAUGAGUCUUAAUGACAUUCCUCUGUUCUAUUGAGUAGUGGUUGUUGUGGUACCAAGUUGACUGAUGGAACUAGAGUUUAAGCUACUACUCGUAACCACCAG